CGCGGGAUUAGAGUUUGAUCAUGGCUCAGAUUGAACGCUGGCGGCAGGCCUAACACAUGCAAGUCGAGCGGUAACAUGUCUAGCUUGCUAGAUGAUGACGAGCGGCGGACGGGUGAGUAAUGCUUGGGGAUCUGCCUUAGAGUGGAGGAUAACCAUUGGAAACGAUGGCUAAUACUGCAUAGUAUCUGCGGAUUAAAGGGGGCUUCGGCUCUUGCUUUAAGAUGAACCCAAGUGGGAUUAGCUAGUUGGUGAGGUAAUGGCUCGCCAAGGCGACGAUCCCUAGCUGGUCUGAGAGGAUGAUCAGCCACACUGGAACUGAGACACGGUCCAGACUCCUACGGGAGGCAGCAGUGGGGAAUAUUGCACAAUGGGCGAAAGCCUGAUGCAGCCAUGCCGCGUGUGUGAAGAAGGCCCUAGGGUUGUAAGGCACUUUCAGUCAGGAGGAAAGGUUAGUAGUUAAUACCUGCUAGCUGUGACGUUACUGACAGAAGAAGCACCGGCUAACUUCGUGCCAGCAGCCGCGGUAAUACGAGGGGUGCAAGCGUUAAUCGGUAUUACUGGGCGUAAAGCGUUCGUAGGCGGUUGAAUAAGCAAGAUGCGAAAGCCCAGGGCUCAACCUUGGAACUGCAUUUUGAACUGUUCGACUAGAGUACUGUAGAGGGGGGUAGAAUUUCA
RNAcentral lists this ribosomal RNA (675 nucleotides) under uncultured Vibrionaceae bacterium. RNAcentral describes it as "bacterial SSU rRNA". It matches the Rfam family "Bacterial small subunit ribosomal RNA", at positions 1 to 671 of the family's 1533-position model. Lineage: Bacteria; Pseudomonadati; Pseudomonadota; Gammaproteobacteria; Vibrionales; Vibrionaceae. The record is from RNAcentral.